UUAAGCCAACGUCCAUGUUUAAGGCUCUCUAUUUCACUUGAACACCACAUGUUGAUAAUUGCCAAAGGGUCUCACCUAGAUUAACCAUGGUCAUGCCUCGACUUGGGCAACUGUACAACGAUCAUGGUGGGUGAAAAUUGGAUGCUGCUCUAAAACGUGGAGCAGCAGCCACUUGACUGGAAAAAAUAACACCCAGGGAAGCUGAACGAGCUAUGACAACGAGUAUCACAGCUCCAUGAAGUUGGCGACUUUGUAUCCAUGGAGAACGCGCUACAUGGAAAAACUCACGACUGUGUUGCAAGAAGCCUGUGGAUUCCACCAAUAUGAAGGUGUGACAUGGAUUGAGGAUGUCAUUUUAUAACUGCCCCAGAAAACGCCAUCCCUGGACCCAGCAUUUUGUAUGUGGAGAAUCAUUGUACCAGAGUAUGGAUAAAUGAUAUACACUAUAGAACGCAGCAGUAAUUGUAUUUGAUCACCACAGAAAUUACUGUGAUGACUAAAAAGGCAUGUGCAUGGGGGUCUAUGUCCAUAAGCAGUUGCUUCAGCCUACUCCUUUUGUGCCAUGUAUGCGUUUAUGUAAUAAUGUAAACUAUUCAAACAUUUAGGUUAACUUGGGCAGAGCACAGUAUCCAAUAAAAAUAUUUGUGGCUGUUUUUUGUAGUAAAAAAACAACUUUUUUUGAAGGAAUACUAAAUGUACAGUAGCUUUUUGGUAUUAGUGUAAAUGUAUGACUCUUUCGAAAUGUUCUCUUGUUAGUCAUGCCAUAUUUCUUGUUGGCUAUUGGCAUUCUCUCCAGCACAAAACUCCCUAAGCUGGGGGGGUCUUCUUUAAAAAUAUAUAUUUUAUAUAAAUUUAUAUAUAUA
Long non-coding RNA from Periophthalmus magnuspinnatus, 863 nucleotides. RefSeq lists it as uncharacterized. NCBI's taxonomy places the organism in Eukaryota, Metazoa, Chordata, Actinopteri, Gobiiformes, Gobiidae. The transcript is spliced from 4 exons. The record is from RefSeq and is a predicted model, not a curated record.